Molecule: non-coding RNA, 86 nt
Organism: Gossypium hirsutum (cotton)
Lineage: Eukaryota; Viridiplantae; Streptophyta; Magnoliopsida; Malvales; Malvaceae
Source: Rfam
CACAUCAGCGCGCUUUGCUAACGUGGACACAAAUCGCGCUUACGUGGCGUGAUUUGUUGCCAUGUCAGCAAAGCGUGCUGAUGUGG